RNAcentral lists this ribosomal RNA (450 nucleotides) under uncultured bacterium. RNAcentral's name for it is "bacterial SSU rRNA". It matches the Rfam family "Bacterial small subunit ribosomal RNA", at positions 354 to 796 of the family's 1533-position model. The record is from RNAcentral.
GUAGGGAAUCUUCCACAAUGGGUGCAAACCUGAUGGAGCAAUGCCGCGUGAAUGAAGAAGGUCUUCGGAUCGUAAAGUUCUGUUAUUAGAGAAGAACAAGUCAAGGAGUAACUGUCUUGACUUUGACGGUACCUAACCAGAAAGUCACGGCUAACUACGUGCCAGCAGCCGCGGUAAUACGUAGGUGACAAGCGUUGUCCGGAAUUAUUGGGCGUAAAGGGAGCGCAGGCGGUUGGAAUAGUCUGAUGUGAAAGCCCACGGCUUAACCGUGGAAGGUCAUUGGAAACUGUCCAACUUGAAUGCAGAAGAGGUAAGUGGAAUUCCAUGUGUAGCGGUGAAAUGCGUAGAUAUAUGGAGGAACACCAGUGGCGAAGGCGACUUACUGGUCUGUGAUUGACGCUGAGGCUCGAAAGCGUGGGUAGCGAACAGGAUUAGAAACCCUUGUAGUCC